Molecule: ribosomal RNA, 317 nt
Filed under: uncultured Desulfuromonadaceae bacterium
Lineage: Bacteria; Pseudomonadati; Thermodesulfobacteriota; Desulfuromonadia; Desulfuromonadales; Desulfuromonadaceae
Description: bacterial SSU rRNA
Rfam family: Bacterial small subunit ribosomal RNA
Source: RNAcentral
AACGAACGCUGGCGGCGUGCCUAACACAUGCAAGUCGAACGAGAAAGUUUCCUUCGGGAAAUGAGUAGAGUGGCGCACGGGUGAGUAACACGUGGAUAAUCUGCCUGAUAAUCUGGGAUAACAUUUCGAAAGAAGUGCUAAUACCGGAUAAGCCCACAGUAUCUUCGGGUACAGCGGGAAAAGAUGGCCUCUUCUUGAAAGCUAUUGUUAUCAGAUGAGUCCGCGGUCCAUUAGCUAGUUGGUGGGGUAAUGGCCCACCAAGGCGACGAUGGAUAGCUGGUUUGAGAGAAUGAUCAGCCACACUGGAACUGAGACAC